This 351-nucleotide transfer-messenger RNA is filed under the name Gammaproteobacteria (g-proteobacteria). Its description in RNAcentral is "MED-G82 sp902601475 Standard tmRNA". It matches the Rfam family "transfer-messenger RNA". From Rfam's summary of the family: Bacterial tmRNA, also known as 10Sa RNA or SsrA, is named for its dual tRNA and mRNA-like properties. RNAcentral also lists the same sequence under 1 other name. The record is from RNAcentral. Lineage: Bacteria; Pseudomonadati; Pseudomonadota.
GGGGGCGAAUUGGGUUCGACGUUUUUAUUGGAUUCCAAAGCGCAUGCCAAGAUCGUGAUAACUCUUGUAAAACGUAUCACAAAAAAUUUAGUUGCAGAAAACGACAACUACGCAUUAGCCGCUUAAUUGGCUAACCAGUACAAAAAUUGACUAUGGUUUGAAGUACUGGGAAAUUUCAUAGUCUAGGAUUUUUUCGGUGCCUUAACGAUUAAAAUCUAAAAUUUUAUUUAGGCUAGUAUUAAGUAUCCUGCUUUUCGGAUCAUUAAUACGAAACAAAAAGAAAAAGCUAAGCAUGUAGAAGUUAGGUUGAAGGACUAACGGACGCGGGUUCAAUUCCCGCCGCCUCCACCA